This is a long non-coding RNA of Condylura cristata (star-nosed mole), 1483 nucleotides long. RefSeq lists it as uncharacterized. The transcript is spliced from 4 exons. NCBI's taxonomy places the organism in Eukaryota, Metazoa, Chordata, Mammalia, Eulipotyphla, Talpidae. The record is from RefSeq and is a predicted model, not a curated record.
AUUCCCUGUCUAUGCUCACAUUUUUCCUAUCUGUUGGGGCUAAACGUUAUUUUGCAAGUUGGAAAAUAUGCAGUUUUAAUUUUAAUUGCACCAAAUUUUAAUAGAUUAAUUAGGAGAGAAUAGAUAUCUUUAACAUUGAGCCUUCUUAUCACAUUUCAAGUUUUACCUGAGCAGUUUACCAAUUUAAGAAGUGAGACCUUUUAGAAGCUUUCUACAUGACUUACCUAUAUCAACCCAAAUUCUUAAAGUUGUUAUUUUGGUGGUCUUCAUUCUUCAGAAGUGCUGCAUGAACCAAAGAGAUAUUGACUGCAGAUGGUGACCUAGUGGACAAGAGGAUCGUAGACAACCUUCUACAGUGGUUGCAUCACUAAAUGUUCUCAUUGUUUCAACUUUCUGGAAGCUUAUCAUGUCUUUGUGUCGCUUAAAGGAUACAGAUUGUUCAUAUCUAUCCCCAGGAAUAGAAGAAACGUGAUUUUUGGCAAGUAGUUGCCUGGGAUGUUGAGUACUUCUCUGUGUUCUAAACAUAUCUUGUGCUUUACUGUAUUGUUGUAUUUUCCUCAUUGCAUUUUUUAAGGCCCAUGAUUACUUUCCAAAUGGGAGUGAAAUUUAUGUGUGAUAAACAUAAUGAGUGCAACCCUAUGGACAGCUUGGUCUUACCCAGAUAAUAAGCAGACUUUCUCUCAAGCUAAGUCUGCCCCUUGUGGCAGUUUUGUGCCAUUUGUAAGAUACUUUGUUCCUCACUUGAAUCAUGAGUGUGACUAUGCAGAUUUUAGAGUUCUAAAUAAGGUCAACUGUAGCUUUUUUUUUAUUAAGCUCAUUAAGACCUGUAGUUGGCCUCAGUCUGGGAUAGUAUAUGAGUUUGACUCUAGAUGUUCUUUUCCCUAAUUUUUAAUGAAAGACUUGAUGUCAUCCCAGCUCUAGUGUAUAAAGGAGAGCCAGACUUGCAUUGACAUUUUGAACUAUGAUGUUGUCAUCUUGUAUAACUUAGGGCUUUGUCAUUUCCUUGGUAUCACUGUGAUUUGCUUGUUUGGAACGGGAUAAAAAGACUAAAGGUACCAAAGACAUUUACUUGUAUCCACAUUACUUUGAUUUUCGUUUGUUUUUUGUUUAACCUUACUGGGCUUAAUGUAGGUGACUUUGAUCAUUGUAAUUUUUAAUUGUCUACUUAUAGAGCAUAAACUGUAGGAAACCACAAAUUGCGUUGCCCAACCUGGAUCAGUAGACAGACUGGACACUUAGUACAUUGAAGUGGGACCACUAAGAAUGAGUGGGUUAUUAAAUAAUUGCAAGCAAACUGUGGUCAUUCAUCCUCCAUUUUCCAUUCUUCUGAGGGGACUAUGUCAUUUGUGACACAGUAGUCAACAACUUUCCAAGCUUGUUUAAGUUUAAUGGGAUUUAUUUUGCAAGUAUGUGAUCAUUUUGGAUAUAUUGUUUUGCUGCUUUGUUUUUCUAUAUUGUGGAUCUAUUUCCAAAUCAAUAAAUA